This 90-nucleotide transfer RNA is filed under the name Akkermansiaceae bacterium. RNAcentral describes it as "tRNA-Ser". It matches the Rfam family "tRNA". Rfam says of the family: Transfer RNA (tRNA) molecules are approximately 80 nucleotides in length. Their secondary structure includes four short double-helical elements and three loops (D, anti-codon, and T loops). Lineage: Bacteria; Pseudomonadati; Verrucomicrobiota; Verrucomicrobiia; Verrucomicrobiales; Akkermansiaceae. The record is from RNAcentral.
GGAGAGGUGGCUGAGUGGUCUAAGGCACCCGAUUCGAAAUCGGACGUGGGGUAAAACUCACCGUGGGUUCGAAUCCCACCCUCUCCGCCA